This 2817-nucleotide long non-coding RNA is filed under the name Bos grunniens (domestic yak). RNAcentral describes it as "lncRNA (ENSBGRG00000005299.1)". Lineage: Eukaryota; Metazoa; Chordata; Mammalia; Artiodactyla; Bovidae. The record is from RNAcentral.
GGACUAGGCAGGCGUGCAGCCAGGGACCCAGCGGAACAGGAGAGCCACUCCCUCCCCACCUGGCAGGGUCCUUGGUGGUCUGAGUGGGGAGCCGGCUCUUUCCUGAAUGGAGGCAUGAGGGGAGUUGGCAGGUUCGCUGGGUCCUUCCGGAAUGGAGGCAGGAGGGAGCUGGCAGGUUCGCUGGGUCCUUGUCCGUCUGAGAAGAACAAGGCUUCCUUGUUAGCAUCCCUGCCUCCCUGGAACAAAGGGGCAGGCAGCCACCAAGGCGCUCUCCAGGGCUCCCACCUCCUCAAGUUCACAGCCAAGGUGUACCUGCACCCACAGAACCCAUGGAUGACCAGCAGCCCACCCUGUACAGCUGGCCCACCGUGUGUCCGUGUGCAUCUCCUGCUGGAGCCCCAAGCCCUCAACCCCAAGAGUGAACUCAUGAUCAUUUAAAGGCUGCCCUGGGACUCCCCAGUGGUCCAGUGGUUAAGACACGCUGCUUCCACUGCAGGGGGCAGUGGGUUCAAUCCCUAGGUGGGGAACUAACUGGCCAAAAAAAAAGUAAUGCCCCAUAAAUAUUUAUACAAAAUGGAAUAAAAUAAGAAAAGCCUGCCCCUCCCACCUCUGCUCCCUCCCAGGUACCUGCAGCUCCAUCCUUUGAGGUGAGCCAACCAAAGCCCUGGGGCUCUGUAGCUCCCUCCCUCCCUCAAAUCCGCUUGCAGACCUUGUUGUUUCUAGUUUUAAAGUAGACCCAGAAUCCCUGCUUCUCGCCCACUCUCCCGUUCCUGCUCAGCUGGCCCCACCAUCCCCCGGUCCCCAAUUCCCCCUCCCAUCUUCACUCCCCACAUUCCUACUCACCAUCGCCCUAUCAUCUCCCUAUCAUCCAUCACCCCUCCCUCACCCCUCCAAGACACCCCCAUCUCCACCCCUUAAUUCCCCUUUCCCAGCGUCCCAGUGCUGCCCAUGGCCUGUUCUUCCCGAAACCGCCAGAGGGCGCUUGUGAGCAGAGAGUGAGGCGCGUCCCUGCUCUGCCCCCUCCACCCCGCCCUCCACACCUUCCCCUGCCGUGGCAAUCGAGCCUUCCGCGUCCCCGGGCCCUCACCUCCUGCCCCAGUCCCUCGCUCAUCCUCCCUGCGGCCCCUCCCACCUGCCAGGCGCAGGGCUGUCUGUCCCAGGGCCUUUGCACAGGUGGUGCUCCCUCUCACCAGGUCUCCCUGCUCUCUCCGUGACUCCUCCCCACUGAGGCCUCCUAGGCUGCACACCCACAGCUCUGGCCCCUUCUGACUACCCCCUCCCACCCCGUUCUUCUCCAGGGCACUACUUGCCUGCCUAAGUGGAAAGAAGAGGCGGGGAGGUUGUGUGUUUCGUUCACCCCUAUUUCUCCUGUACCGGAAACUGCCUGGUGCGCAGCUCUGUCCUGGUGGAAUUAGUAGUUCUGAUGAGGGCUGUUAUCAGAGGAGCACUGGCCGUAUUUAGGCCUCGGCUUAGCCAGGCAGCCUCACUGGUUUCUGCCCGCACCGGGGCCUCGCGGCUGGGCCUGAGUCCCGCUCUCACACCCAGCUGAGCUUCCGUUUUCAAGUUCUCUGACUUGCCCUCUGCUGCCCAUGUCAGUUUGGAUUAAAAUGCGGCUUGUUCCCGUGUAGACUUUGACUUGUUCACAUCUCAGCCCGCCUGCUGGAGUGAAGAUUUCUGGGCUAAAGAGAGAGAAUCCAGCCAGGAGUGGUGGCCAGGCGGGCUAGUGGGGGAUGAACUCUAUUGAGGAGGGGCCUGGGCCUGGGGGUCCCCCAAACACCCUGCACAGGCUCAGGCUGCCUGUCCUUCCUAUUCACUGCCCCCACCCCCCAACUCUGUGUUAGCUCUUGGCUUCUCAUAGUCAGAAAGGGGAACGGAGCCCUGGAUGGAUUCUGAAUGUAGGGUCUCAUCCCAGAGGGGCUGGGUCACAGAGAGGAAAUGGAGGUGGUGGGAGCCGAGUCCAGUGUCUCCAGCUCUCUUCACUCCAGGGCUGACCGAGGGAGCCUGGGCUGGGGGCCCAGAAAUGGGGAGGGCUGGGUCCUUCCACCCCCUGUCCUGGGCCCCAAGGCUGACCAGUUCCUGGGCUCCUGCACAUCUAGCCAGUGUGGGUCCCUGAGAGGCGCCCAUGGACAGGAGGAGAAGGAGGUGGGUAUUCAUCCCCCAUCUCCCACUUCUGUCCAUGACUCUGCUAAGGAGCACAUAGCUCAUUGAGUGUCGGGGCGACCGGUGCCUGAGGAUCGAGCUGGCUGUGGGCUGAUGGGCAGAAGUGAGCAUCUCUGGGGAGGGGAGCAGGUGAAGGCCCAGAGGUUCCCAUUCAAGGGGCAGGAAGCCGGCUGAUGUGGCCACAAGGUCGUGGACGAGGGCUGAAGGCUAGGAGUCCAGGGCAGAGGGGAGCAGGGAUGAGACAGGGAGGACUUGGGUUUUAUCCUUAGGAUGAGGGAAAUCCAGAGAUUCAGCAUACCCAGAAAACUGAGCAGGAAUUAGAACCCCGGGAGAAACCCUCGAUGCCAAGCUUUGCUCUAAAACCUGAGUCAGAAUUCCGUGCAAUCCCCCACCCCCACUGCCCCCUUCCCCUGACUCGCCCUCCCUCCCUCCCCACUGUCUCCCCUCCUGUGACCAGAGGAGGUCAGAAUCCACACCUCUCAUGCAAUGCUAGGAUAAUUAAACACUGCGAUGCUGGGCCAGGAUGCCUGAGUCCCAAGCUAGUAACCUGGUGACUGGGAUACGGUAAAUGCCUCUGGCUUCACACAGACUCGUUUCCCCCAGAGCCUGCAAGUCUGCAGUGCUGCCGGCCUCCUGUCCCAAUGUUGUCAUUCAUUC